CCUACGGGUGGCUGCAGUGGGGAAUAUUGCACAAUGGGCGCAAGCCUGAUGCAGCCAUGCCGCGUGUGUGAAGAAGGCCUUCGGGUUGUAAAGCACUUUCAGCGGGGAGGAAGGCGUUAAGGUUAAUAACCUUGGCGAUUGACGUUACCCGCAGAAGAAGCACCGGCUAACUCCGUGCCAGCAGCCGCGGUAAUACGGGGGGUGCAAGCGUUAAUCGGAAUUACUGGGCGUAAAGCGCACGCAGGCGGUCUGUCAAGUCGGAUGUGAAAUCCCCGGGCUCAACCUGGGAACUGCAUUCGAAACUGGCAGGCUAGAGUCUUGUAGAGGGGGGGAGAAUUCCAGGUGUAGCGGUGAAAUGCGUAGAGAUCUGGAGGAAUACCGGUGGCGAAGGCGGCCCCCUGGACAAAGACUGACGCUCAGGUGCGAAAGCGUGGGGAGCAAACAGGAUUAGAUACCCCAGUAGUC
Molecule: ribosomal RNA, 465 nt
Filed under: uncultured Klebsiella sp.
Lineage: Bacteria; Pseudomonadati; Pseudomonadota; Gammaproteobacteria; Enterobacterales; Enterobacteriaceae
Description: bacterial SSU rRNA
Rfam family: Bacterial small subunit ribosomal RNA
Source: RNAcentral